GGACGAACGCUGGCGGCGUGCCUAACACAUGCAAGUCGAACGGACGAGGGAGCUUGCUCCCUGAGUUAGUGGCGAACGGGUGAGUAACGCGUGAGCAACCUGCCUUUCAGAGGGGGACAACGGUUGGAAACGACCGCUAAUACCGCAUGAAGCAAUCGGACCGCAUGAUCUGAUUGCCAAAGAUUUUAUCGCUGAAAGAUGGGCUCGCGUCUGAUUAGAUAGUUGGUGGGGUAACGGCUCACCAAGUCGACGAUCAGUAGCCGGACUGAGAGGUUGAACGGCCACAUUGGGACUGAGAUACGGCCCAGACUCCUACGGGAGGCAGCAGUGGGGAAUAUUGGGGACAAUGGGGGAAACCCUGACCCAGCAACGCCGCGUGAAGGAAGAAGGCUUUCGGGUUGUAAACUUCUUUUACCAGGGACGAAGGACGUGACGGUACCUGGAGAAAAAGCCACGGCUAACUACGUGCCAGCCGCCGC
RNAcentral lists this ribosomal RNA (479 nucleotides) under uncultured bacterium. RNAcentral's name for it is "bacterial SSU rRNA". It matches the Rfam family "Bacterial small subunit ribosomal RNA", at positions 27 to 518 of the family's 1533-position model. The record is from RNAcentral.